RNAcentral lists this non-coding RNA (18 nucleotides) under Mus musculus (house mouse). Lineage: Eukaryota; Metazoa; Chordata; Mammalia; Rodentia; Muridae. The record is from RNAcentral.
UUGACUCUAGCUGCAUAU